CUUCACUGUGUGCAAGGUGAGGACGCAGGUCUGGAGAGAAGAGAGACAUGCGCAAGGCCCCGGGGCUGGAACUUCAGGUGCCCCGUGCUCCCCUGCCCCCCAUCCCAACUCAGUUAUGUGGCCCAAGCCUUCUUCCUGGCCUGCACCCGCAGACACACCAGGUUUUUCCCAGGAGCCAGACGCCGGCCCUCCCACUGCAGAGGGCAGGCCCAGAGCCCGGGCCUGGUGCUCAGCCAGGGUCUGUGGGAACUAGCUGCGGGGCUGUGGAGAAGCCCUCACCACCUCGGGCCUCCAUUUUCCUCAUCUGAAAAUCAGGAGCACAACUGCCUACCUUCUGGUUCAGAUAAAACUUUGAAAGAGAUUUUUAAAAAAUUC
Molecule: long non-coding RNA, 375 nt
Organism: Neomonachus schauinslandi (Hawaiian monk seal)
Lineage: Eukaryota; Metazoa; Chordata; Mammalia; Carnivora; Phocidae
Exons: 3
Source: RefSeq, a predicted model, not a curated record